GGAAAUGUGGCUUAGUGGUUAAGUGCUUACCUGGCAUGCAUGAGGCUCUGGGUUCAAUUCCUCAGUACCA
RNAcentral lists this transfer RNA (70 nucleotides) under Dipodomys ordii (Ord's kangaroo rat). It matches the Rfam family "tRNA". Rfam says of the family: Transfer RNA (tRNA) molecules are approximately 80 nucleotides in length. Their secondary structure includes four short double-helical elements and three loops (D, anti-codon, and T loops). The record is from Rfam by way of RNAcentral. Lineage: Eukaryota; Metazoa; Chordata; Mammalia; Rodentia; Heteromyidae.